CCUACGGGUGGCAGCAGUGAGGAAUAUUGGUCAAUGGGCGCGAGCCUGAACCAGCCAAGUCGCGUGAAGGAUGACUGCCCUACGGGUUGUAAACUUCUUUUAUAAAGGAAUAAAGUGAGGCACGUGUGCCUUUUUGUAUGUACUUUAUGAAUAAGGAUCGGCUAACUCCGUGCCAGCAGCCGCGGUAAUAGGGAGGAUCCAAGCGUUAUCCGGAUUUCUUGGGUUUAAAGGGAGCGUAGAUGGUUUGUUAAGUCAGUGGUGAAAGUUUGGGGCUCAACCGUAAAAUUGCAAUUGAUACUGGCAGUCUUGAGUACAGUUGAGGUAGGCGGAAUGCAUGGUGUAGCGGUGAAAUGCUUAGAGAUCACGAAGAACUCCGAUUGCGAAGGCAGCUUACUAAACUGCCACUGACAUUGAGGCUCGAAAGUGUGGGUAUCAAACAGGAUUAGAUACCCGGGUAGUC
Molecule: ribosomal RNA, 460 nt
Filed under: uncultured bacterium
Lineage: Bacteria
Description: partial 16S ribosomal RNA
Rfam family: Bacterial small subunit ribosomal RNA
Source: RNAcentral